CCUACGGGAGGCUGCAGUAGGGAAUAUUGGUCAAUGGAGGCAACUCUGAACCAGCCAUGCCGCGUGCAGGAAGAAGGCCCUCUGGGUUGUAAACUGCUUUUGACAGGGAACAAGAAGUCCAUGCGUGGAUUAGUGAGUGUACCUGUAGAAUAAGCCACGGCUAACUACGUGCCAGCAGCCGCGGUAAUACGUAGGUGGCAAGCGUUGUCCGGAUUUAUUGGGUUUAAAGGGUGCGUAGGCGGCUUUUUAAGUCAGUUGUGAAAUAUCUCGGCUUAACCGAGAGGGUGCGAUUGAUACUGGGAAGCUUGAGUUACAGCGAGGUCAGCGGAAUUGAUGGUGUAGCGGUGAAAUGCAUAGAUAUCAUCAAGAACACCGAUAGCGAAGGCAGCUGACUAGGAGUACACUGACGCUGAGGCACGAAAGUGCGGGGAUCAAACAGGAUUAGAUACCCAAGUAGUC
This 459-nucleotide ribosomal RNA is filed under the name uncultured bacterium. RNAcentral describes it as "bacterial SSU rRNA". It matches the Rfam family "Bacterial small subunit ribosomal RNA", at positions 338 to 795 of the family's 1533-position model. The record is from RNAcentral.